GAACAUAGGACGUCCAACUUAACUUGGAGUCCGAACUCUCACUUUCUAACCCUGUGCAUUUGUUUGGGAUAGUAACUCUCGCAAGAGAGCGAACUCCUAUUCACUUAUAAACACAAAGUCUAUGAAUGUAUUUAAUUUUAUAACAAAAUAAAACUUUCAACAACGGAUCUCUUGGCUCU
This 179-nucleotide unclassified non-coding RNA is filed under the name rhizosphere metagenome. Its description in RNAcentral is "partial ribosomal RNA internal transcribed spacer region". The record is from RNAcentral.